Molecule: ribosomal RNA, 439 nt
Filed under: beta proteobacterium SCGC AAA023-D15
Lineage: Bacteria; Pseudomonadati; Pseudomonadota; Betaproteobacteria
Description: bacterial SSU rRNA
Rfam family: Bacterial small subunit ribosomal RNA
Source: RNAcentral
GGGNAUUUUGGACAAUGGGCGCAAGCCUGAUCCAGCAAUGCCGCGUGCAGGAUGAAGGCCUUCGGGUUGUAAACUGCUUUUGUACGGAGCGAAACGGCUUCCCCUAAUACGGGGAGCUAAUGACGGUACCGUAAGAAUAAGCACCGGCUAACUACGUGCCAGCAGCCGCGGUAAUACGUAGGGUGCGAGCGUUAAUCGGAAUUACUGGGCGUAAAGCGUGCGCAGGCGGUUAUAUAAGACAGAUGUGAAAUCCCCGGGCUCAACCUGGGACCUGCAUUUGUGACUGUAUAGCUAGAGUACGGUAGAGGGGGAUGGAAUUCCGCGUGUAGCAGUGAAAUGCGUAGAUAUGCGGAGGAACACCGAUGGCGAAGGCAAUCCCCUGGACCUGUACUGACGCUCAUGCACGAAAGCGUGGGGAGCAAACAGAGAUUAGAUACCC